CGGAGAGGGAGCAUGAGAAACGGCUACCACUUCUAAGGAAGGCAGCAGGCGCGCAAAUUACCCAAUCCUGACUCAGGGAGGUAGUGACAAGAAAUAACGAUACGGGGUCUUAAUAGGUCUCGCAAUUGGAAUGAGUACAAUUUAAAUCCUUUAACGAGGAUCAAUUGGAGGGCAAGUCUGGUGCCAGCAGCCGCGGUAAUUCCAGCUCCAAUAGCGUAUACUAAAGUUGUUGCAGUUAAAAAGCUCGUAGUUGGAUUUCUGCGGGGACGGAGCGGCCGGUCGCAACUUGCGACUCGAGCUAGCGCUUUCCCCGCAUCCUGCCGCGAACCGUGCUACCAUUAGCUUGGUGGCGCUGGGGAUCGGCUCGAUUACUUUGAGAAAAAUAGAGUGUUCAAAGCAGGCCACACGCCUUGAAUAAGUUAGCAUGGAAUAAUGACUAAGGACUUCGGUUCUAUUUCGUUGGUGUUCGGGACUGAAGUAAUGAUUGAUAGGGACAGUUGGGGCGGUCUGUAUUCCAAAGCGAGAGGUGAAAUUCUUAGACCUUCGGAAGACAAACAGCUGCGAAAGCGUUCCGCAAGGAUGUUCCCUUUGAUCAAGAACGAAAGUUGGGGGAUCGAAGACGAUCAGAUACCGUCGUAGUCUCAACUAUAAACUAUACCAGCUAGGGAUCGGUCAACGUUUAAUCAUUCGACUUGAUCGGCACCUUAUGAGAAAUCAAAGCAUCUGGGUUCCGGGGGGAGUAUGGUCGCAAGGCUGAAACUUAAAGGAAUUGACGGAAGGGCACCACCAGCCGUGGAGCCUGUGGCUUAAUUUGACUCAACACGGGAAAACUUACCAGGUCCAGACAUAGUAAGGAUUGACAGAUUGAUAGCUCUUUCUUGAUUCUGUGGGUGGUGGUGCAUGGCCGUUCUUAGUUGGUGGAGUGAUUUGUCUGGUUAAUUCCGUUAACGAACGAGACCCCAGCCUGCUAAAUAGCGCGGCUGAGCUUUGCUCGGUGCGAGCUUCUUAGAGGGACUAUGAUGCGCGAUAGCACAUGGAAGUUUGGGGCAAUAACAGGUCUGUGAUGCCCUUAGAUGUUCUGGGCCGCACACGGGCUACACUGGCGCCUGCAACGAGCAUAUCAGCUGGCCCGAGAGGGUCUUGGCUAAUCUUUUGAACCGGCGCCGUGCUUGGGAUUGACCAUUGCAAUUGUUGGUCAUGCAACGAGGAAUGCCUUGUAAACGCGAGUCAUCAGCUCGCAUUGAAUACGUCCCUGCCCUUUGUACACACCGCCCGUCGCUCCUACCGAUGAAUGUUCCGAUGAAAUUUUCGGAGAGCGCCAGAGAACGGGGCUCCGCCUUGCAGAUCUGGAGGCUCAAAGUCACUUAAAUCUGAACAUUUCGAGGAAGGAGAAGUCGUAACAAGGUAACC
This 1410-nucleotide ribosomal RNA is filed under the name uncultured Rhizaria. RNAcentral's name for it is "SSU rRNA". It matches the Rfam family "Eukaryotic small subunit ribosomal RNA", at positions 384 to 1804 of the family's 1831-position model. The record is from RNAcentral.